UAAUAUCUUCUGUAAAUUCAACUCAGUUUCACAGCUUGAAAUUUGAUAGUGAACAGGCACCAUCAAGCCUUUCAGAAUAGGAGUGAGACAAAAUAUGUUAGGAAAAUGAGGUCCAGUCCCAUGUAAAUGGUUUUGGACCAAAUAAAGGCCAUGGACCUUGAUUUUUUAUUUUACACAGAGCUCUAGCUACUUAAUAAAAAAGAUGUGGGGUUGUUUAAGGUGUGUGUCGACAACCAAGUAGAGAAAGAAGAAAAGCCAGGAAAAGCAGAGAGAGAAAAAGGAGAAGGGAGAGUUGGUUAAACGGAAGUCGAUCCGUGGUCCGAUUGAGUUGGAACCUUGUCAGGAGGUUUAUGAUUCAGAGUUAUACAUUCUGAACGGUGAAGAUCGGGUUUGAAACUCUCUAGGAACAAAUCCAUGGUGUAUUUGUUGAGUCACUUAUUUGGUGAGAUUUCUCCAAUUGUUUCUCUAGUUGUUGAUUAGCUCUAGUUUUAGCUAGAGAAGAACUUUGUAUAACUAUUAUUUGAUAGUGAAGAUUUUUCUGGUGGCCCGUGGUUUUUCCCUCUACACUGGAGGGUUUUUCACGUAAAUCUUGGUGUGCUUUAUUUUUCUUGCGCAUUUGAUUAUUGAUUGUUGUCUAUUGCUUCUGUAUUGUUGUGAUUAUUGCUUCAGGCGCAACAAGUGGUAUCAGAGCGAGAGUUAUUUUGAGACAUCGAUACAGAAGCAACCCAGGAUAGAAGUAAAUUCUGUUUGAGAUCAUGGAGGGUGAUACAGGUUCCAUGCUAAAAUUGACAGUAUCAAAUUAUUCAAUUUGGAAGCCUAUGAUGGAGGAUUAUCUAUACUGCAAAGAUUUAUAUGAGCCAGUAUUGGGUGAUUCGGCUAAACCAGCAGAUAUGAAAGAUGAAAGCUGAAAAAAGCUAGGUAGAAAGACGCUGGCUACAAUCAGAAAAUGGGUUGAUAUCAGCGUGUUUCAUCAUGUAGCGCAGGAGUCAGAUGCUCACAUUGUUUGGGAAAAAUUGGCAGCAUUGUAUGAGAGAAAAAUAGGUAUGAAUAAAGUUAUGCUUGUUAAAAAAAUUGCAACUUUACAGUACAGGGAUGGACGAUCUGUUACAGAGCACUUGAGUGAUUUUCAAGAUAUAUUUAAUCGGAUGACUACUAUGGAACUUAAGAUGGAUGAUGAAAUGAAGGUAUUAUUUCUUUUGGGUUCAUUGCCAGACAGUUGGAAUACUCUAGUUGUGACUGUUCUUAAUUCAGCUCCAGAUUAUAAGGUGACAUUGGAGAUGGUAAAGGACAGUAUGCUUAAUGAAGAAGCCAGGCGAAAAGAUGUAGACCCUGGGAAUCAAGCUCUGGUCACAGAGAACAGGGGUAGAAACAUCGACAGAGGUCAGGACUCAAAAGGCCGUGGUAAGUCUAAACAUAGAUCCAAGUCUAGAGGUAAAGUGAAGUGUUUCCAUUGUGGUAAGGCGGGUCAUAUAAAACGAAACUGUAAAAUCUUAAAGCAAGAGCAAAAAGAUGAGAAAGGUAAGAGUUCAGAUGAUGGCAAUGUUGCAGCAGUGAAUUCAGAUAGUGAUUCAGUUACUUUGAUUUGUACACAUGGUGAUUGUAAUCAUGUUAGUGAUCCCGGCAUUGAGUGGAUAGUUGACACAAGAGCGGCAUAUCAUUGUGUUCCUAAGAGAGAGUUGUUUACAACUUACAAAGCAGGAGACUUUGGUUGUACCAAGAUGAGAAACAAGAGUGUGUCGCAGAUUGUUGGGAUUGGUGAUAUUGUUGUACAAACUAGUACAGGCUGCAUGUUGACUUUAAGGGAUGUCAGACACAUUCCAGAUAUGAGAAUGAACUUGCUUGCUAUUAAUGUCCUUGAUAAGGAGGGAUAUGAAAGCCGACAAAAGAAUGGACAGUGAAAGCUUCUCAAAAGAUCUAUGGUAGUUACAAGGGGAAAACUAUGCUGCACAAUGUAUAAGACAUGGAUGCAAUUGAACGGUAACCAGGUAAAUACCGUUGAAAAUAAUGCUUCAGCAAACUUGUGGCACAGGAGGCUGGCACACAUGAGUGAAAAAGGGUUACAGGUUUUGGCAAGGCACUCUCUCAUUCCCUUGAUCAAAGGUAUGUCUCUCGAUUCAUGUGAUUAUUGUUUGUUUGGUAAGCAUCAUAGAGUUUCUUUUCGUAAAAGUUCUCAGAGAAAAGAAAAUAGAUUAGAAUUAAUUUAUUCUGACGUAUGUGGUCCCAUUGAGGUUGAGUCAUUAGGUGGUAGCAGAUAUUUUGUUACUUUUAUUGAUGAUGUUUCACGUAAGACUUUGGUGUAUAUGUUGAAAUACAAAAGUCAGGUACUACAGUAUUUUCAAAAAUUUCAUGCCAUGGUUGAAAGGAUGACAGGGUUAUCCUUGAAGUGUAUUCGAACUGAUAAUGGUGGGGAAUACACAUCUAAAAGCUUUGGAGAGUAUUGCUCAAAGCAUGGGAUCAGGCAUGAGAGGACAGAACCUGGAACACCGCAACAUAAUGGUAUAGCUGAAAGAAUGAAUCGCACCAUUGUAGAAAAAGUCAGAUGUAUGUUGAGGAUGGAAAAAUUACCAAAGCCAUUCUGGGGUGAAGCAGUCAACACAGCUUGUUAUUUACUUAACAGGUCACCAUCAGUUCCUUUGGGCUUUGACAUUCCAAAAAGAGUGUGGACAGAAAAAGAUGCUUCAUACUCUCACUUAAAAAUUUUUGGGUGUAAAGCAUUCAUGCAUGUGCCGAAAGAGCAGAGAUCAAAGCUUGACAGUAAAGCUACACAGUGUGUGUUUGUAGGAUAUGGUGAUGAGGAAUUUGGCUACAGGGUAUGGGAUCCAGUAAAGAGAAAGACAGUCAGAAGCAGAGAUGUGGUCUUUCAUGAAAAAGAAACCAUAGCAGACCUUGAGAAAAAUGAGAAGACUACACGCGUUACUGUUAAGUGUGAUAUUUCAACACCGACAGGGAUUUCACAGGAAAGAGCCACAGAUGGUGAAAAUGAGCCAGAAACAGAACUUGGGGAUAUGGAUGAGCCAGCUACAGUUGGUAAUGAGCCAGAUGCUAUUAGUUUUGAGCAGGGGGAGCAAUCCUCUCUACCUGAGAGUGUUGAGCAUGGGGAGCUACCUUCGUCAUCAAGUGAUGUAGAGUCUCAGCCUAGGAGAUCUACUAGAGAGCGCAGGCCAUCUACCAGGUAUCCAAGUUCAGAUUUUAUUUUAGUUACCAGUGAAGGGGAGCCAGAAAGCUUUCAAGAUGUGCAGGCUACUCCGGAUAGAGAGCACUGGUUAAAAGCAAUGAAAGAAGAGAUGGAGUCAUUGCGAAAGAAUGAUACUUAUGAUCUUGUUAAACUUCUAACAGAAAAGAGGCCAUUAAAGAAUAAAUGGGUGUUCAAGUUGAAAAAGAAUGGUGACAAACUAGUGAGGUACAAAGCUCGAUUGGUAGUAAAAGGUUUUUCUCAAAAACCAGGCAUCGAUUUUGAUGAGAUUUUUGCUCCAGUUGUAAAAAUGAGUUCUAUUCAAGUGGUACUGGGAUUGGCAGCUAGUUUGAAUCUUGAGCUUGAGCAACUUGAUGUUAAAACUGCAUUUUUGCAUGGUGAUUUACAGGAGGACAUUUAUAUGAAUCAGCCUGAGGGUUUUGAAGUGAAAGGGAAAGAGCACUUAGUUUGCAAAUUGAAGAAAAGCUUGUAUGGCUUGAAACAAGCUCCGCGACAGUGGUACAAAAAGUUUGAUUCUUUUAUGGUGAGUCAUAGCUAUAAAAAAAUAGCAGCGGAUUCUUGUGUGUAUAUUAAACAAUUCCCUAAUGGUAACUUCAUUAUCCUAUUAUUAUAUGUUGAUGAUAUGUUGAUUGUAGGACAAGAUGCUAGUAUGGUUUACAGGUUGAAAGAACAAUUGUCUAAGUCCUUUGAUAUGAAGGAUUUAGGUCCAGCAAAGCAGAUUCUUGGUAUGGACAUUAUCCGAGAUAGGAGAGCUAGAAAGCUGUGGUUGUCACAGGAAAAGUAUGUUGAAUGAGUGCUUGGUAGAUUCAACAUGCAACAUGCUAAAUCAGUUAGCAGUUCACUUGCCAACCAUUUUCAUCUAAGUAAGAAAUCUUGUCCAGUGUCUAAGGAAGAGCAACUAGCUAUGUCUAGUAUUCUUUAUUCUUCUGCAGUCGGUUCUUUAAUGUAUCUUAUGGUUUGUACAAGGCCUGACAUUGCUCAUGCAGUUGGUGUAGUGAGCAGAUUUCUUUCUAAUCCAGGGAAGGUUCACUGGGAAGCAGUAAAAUGGAUUUUUAGAUAUUUGAGGGGUACCUCAAAAAUGUGUUUGACUUAUGAAGUUUCACAACCAAUUCUAGAAGGGUUUACUGAUGCUGACAUGGCAGGUGAUCUUGAUGGUAGAAAAUCUACUUCAGGGUAUUUGUUCACUUUUGCAGGAGGAGCUGUAUCUUGGCAGUCUAAGUUGCAGAAGUGUGUUGCUUUGUCAACUACAGAAGCUGAGUAUAUUGCAGCAACUGAAGCAUGUAAAGAAAUGCUUUGGAUGAAACGUUUUCUUUUUGAAUUGGGAUUGAAUCAGAAAGAGUAUGUGGUAUUUUGUGAUAGCCAGAGUGCUUUAGAUUUGAGUAAGAAUACCAUGUACCAUGCUAGAACAAAGCACAUUGAUGUUAGAUAUCAUUGGUUACGUUCAGUGAUUGAAGAACAGCAGAUGCUAUUGAAGAAAGUCCAUACUGAUAAAAAUGUGGCAGAUAUGUUGACUAAGAUACUUCCCAGGGAAAAGCUUGAGCUUUGCAGUAACUUGGCCGGAAUGAGUUCCCUGGCCAAGGUAAGUUCCAAAUGAAAUUGCUAUGGUGAUGAAUCUCCUUCUAAUGGGACUGGAGGGGGAGAUUGUUAGGAAAAUGGGGUCCAGUCCCAUGUAAGUGGUUUUGGACCAAAUAAAGGCCAUGGGCCUUGAUCUUUUAUUUUACACAGAGCCCUAGCUACUUAAUAAAAAAGAGGUGGGGUUGUUUAAGGUGUGUGUCGACAACCAAGCAGAGAAAGAAGAAAAGCCAGGAAAAGCAGAGAGAGAAAAAGGAGAAGGGAGAGUUGGUUAAACGGAAGUCGAUCCGUGGUCCGAUUGAGUUGGAACCUUGUCAGGAGGUUUAUGAUUCAGAGUUAUACAUUCUGAACGGUGAAGAUCGGGUUUGAAGCUCUCUAGGAACAAAUCCAGGGUGUAUUUGUUGAGUCACUUAUUUGGUGAGAUUUCUCCAAUUGUUUCUCUAGUUGUUGAUUAGCUCUAGUUUUAGCUAGAGAAGAACUUUGUAUAAUUAUUAUUUGAUAGUGAAGAUUUUUUUGGUGGCCCGUGGUUUUUCCCUCUACACUGGAGGGUUUUUCACGUAAAUCUUGGUGUGCUUUAUUUUUCCUGCGCAUUUGAUUAUUGAUUGUUGUCUAUUACUUCUGUAUUAUUGUGAUUAUUGCUUCAAGCGUAACAAAAUAGUCCUAAGUGAGGUCAUUUUGUAUUCUUCGGGGCAUUUUGCCAACAAAAGAUGCUCUUAGAAGUAAGUGUAUUCGGGUUGGUGAUCUUUGCGUAUGCGGCAGUACAUAUUAGAGAUAUACAUGAGUAUGUCCUUUUAAGUUCGGCAACCAAGAUUCCGCACAUGCUGAAGUUCAAGUCAUUCUGUUUGGUUUGAAGCUAUCUCAUGAUUACGGUUCCAUUCGUUCAUUGUUUAAAGCGAUUCUUCCUUGGCAAUUUCUGAAAUUAGCGUAGCUGAAGUUUCCUCCUGGGAUGUGGCAAGUUUGAUUUCAGAUAUUCUUGAUUUAGCUUUCUUAUGCAUUGCCUGUUCUUCUGCCAGACUCAAGAUUGUUUGGACCUAGUAAGGAGUUGUUAUCAGAAGAGAACCCUCCAAAAUACAGGAAACCACUGUCAAAGACUAUAUUACCUACUUCAACGCAAAAUGCCCUUGUGGUACUUCCGCUUGCCACAUUUCAGGCUCUGAACUUAGCCACGGAGAUUAAAACAGCAGAAGCAUGACAAAUAGUUUCAGAAAUAAUAAAAAUUCAUCAGAUCUUUCCAAAAUCUUUUCGAUCCUGAUGAAUUUAUAACAACAGGAUGAUAUAGGUAACAUAAUUUGGAUUUUUUUUGAAUAUUUUUUGUUAUGAUUACUUUGAUUCUUGACCAAUUAUAAGGAAGUGAUAUUUAUGUAUAGAACUUAUGAAACUUAUUAAGCAUUGCUCAACAAAUAUUUGCUCUUUCUAGUCUUCUUUUGGUGUUCUAGCUAUGAUUCCUCGUUAAUUUAACUUUACAUAUAUUGUAUGAAAUGAAAAUCUUUAAGUUAAAUACUAUUAAUUUCCUAAUAACACCAACUCUAUUACACUGAAAAUUAUAUUUUACGAAAUCAAAUAAAUUUAAAAAAAAAAAAAAGAAGGUUGAAGAAACUUUAUUGCAACGGAUGGGGUUUUAGCUUUGCAUUUUUCCCUGAACAUACAUUAUGUCUGUGUUUUUUGUUUUUAUUUUGCUAAUAUGGCUGAAAUGAGCAAAUUAGAAAAAGAAAGGUUCGAAAGGGGGCAGGUGGCGUGAAAGUCAUAUCAAUGUUUCGUAUCUCUCUUCCAGUUGGAUGAAGUACAUCUAUAUUUCUUUAUUUGGAUGAAACACAAAAUACUUUUUUUUUACCAAAUCUAUAUUUUUUUUAAAAAAAAAUUUAACGUUUUUGUCAUCCUGCCAAUGCAAAAGGAAAUCGUUAUGUUUGUGGUGUGGUUGUUGGCUUUAUUUUAAUGAUUUUAGUUAUCUCUAGACGUUUUAAAAUAUAUAAAAAAAAUUGUUAUAUUUUUUAAUUAAUUAUGAUCAGUUAUUUAUUAAAAUUUAUUAAAAUUUAUUAAAAAAUAAUUUUUGAAUCUACAAAAAUAAUUUGGAUUUAGAGUGUAAUUACACAUGAAAAAAAAUAACCCUUCACAACGUCUACUUUAAAAAUGAUAUCAAUUAAUUAUGUGUUAUCAUUUAAUAUUGAUAAAAAUAAUUUUAAUUUUGAUAUUUAAAAUUAUUUUUCUUGACUUCCUUUAUUUAUCACAAUUCUGUC
This 6999-nucleotide long non-coding RNA is filed under the name Durio zibethinus. RNAcentral describes it as "long non-coding RNA (DZIB_LNC000213)". Lineage: Eukaryota; Viridiplantae; Streptophyta; Magnoliopsida; Malvales; Malvaceae. The record is from RNAcentral.